This 150-nucleotide microRNA precursor is filed under the name Podarcis lilfordi (Lilford's wall lizard). Lineage: Eukaryota; Metazoa; Chordata; Lepidosauria; Squamata; Lacertidae. The record is from RNAcentral.
GAGUGGGGAGGAGAGAGGGACAGAGAGCCUGCUUCUUUAAAGGAGCAAAGCAGGAGAGGAGAGGAGCCGCUUACACGAGUGUAAGCAGCUCCUGUCCGGUUGGUUCCUUUAAAGCAAGCAGGCUCUCUGUCCCUCUCUCCUCCCCACUCA